GGGCGGCAAGGGGGGAGCAANUCCUUCUUAGAGCGGCGGAUGGUGAGUAAACGCGUGGGUGACUACCUUGCGGUUGGGGAUAGCCAUUAGAAAUAGUGGGUAAUACCGAAUGAGGUUGGGGGGCUGUGGUUCUCCAAAGAAGGGAGCUUUGGCUCCGCCGAAAGAUGGGCCCGCGUCCCAUUAGCUAGUUGGAGAGGUAAGAGCUUACCAAGGCGAAGAUGGGUAGCCGGCCUGAGAGGGUGAACGGCCACACUGGGACUGAGAUACGGCCCAGACUCCUACGGGAGGCAGCAGCUAAGAAUAUUCCGCAAUGGACGAAAGUCUGACGGAGCGACGCCGCGUGGAUGAAGAAGGCCGUGAGGUUGUAAAGUCCUUUUGUCACUGAAGAAUAAGGUGGGCAGGGAAUGGCCUAUUGAUGACGUUAGGUGACGAAUAAG
This 437-nucleotide ribosomal RNA is filed under the name uncultured Treponema clone RFS74p. RNAcentral describes it as "bacterial SSU rRNA". It matches the Rfam family "Bacterial small subunit ribosomal RNA", at positions 64 to 490 of the family's 1533-position model. The record is from RNAcentral. Lineage: Bacteria; Pseudomonadati; Spirochaetota; Spirochaetia; Treponematales; Treponemataceae.